This is a long non-coding RNA of Cyprinus carpio carpio, 1761 nucleotides long. NCBI's taxonomy places the organism in Eukaryota, Metazoa, Chordata, Actinopteri, Cypriniformes, Cyprinidae. The record is from Ensembl.
CAUGUAUUCAAUUUUCGCGAGCUCUCUCUCUCUCCACCUAUCUCCCGCUCCCUCCUCUCUCUCUCUCCCUCUCUCUCUCUCUCUCUCUCUCUCUCCGCUCUUUUGUUAAAAUUCAGUAUAUGCGCCUCGUCACCUAGCAACCGUCAACCGUCAACCUCCCUCUUUCGCGCGCGCGCGCCGGCCGCCUCUCUCUCCCGCGCUCUCUCUCCAUCACUUGCGACACGUGUUGAAUGCUAAACUUAGCGGUGUGGAAUAAUAUUAAUAACUGGUUGGCUCGAGGUCUCUUCCUCUCCUCUCUCUCUCUCUCAGCCCUCUUCCUCCCCAUACACACACACACUCGCGCGCACACACCUCCUCCUUUUGCUCGCGCAUAUCAUCAUGCAAUAUAAAUAUUUACUAGAGCCACUCAGUCCUCUGUUGCAUCCCCCCGCAGCCCCCUUCCGCGUCUCUCUCCCCUGCCUUCAUCCUGUGCUGCGAAUCAAUGGUGCCGUAUCGCCACACCGAGCAAAACGGAGAGGUGUGCGUCCGUCAGCCCGUCCGUCCGUGUCAAUAGACACGCGUGUAUCAUAAAGCAAAGACACGGGGAAAAUACUCACAGGCCGUGUGCGUGCGUGCGCGCCAGCGCGUGUCCUGGAGAGUGAGUUAGCGUUCCUCAUGCCGGGAAAAUGAUCAGUGGAUGGAGUAAGUAGCUUGAGCUGCAAUAGGGCUAUCAAUGGAGCAUCAACGUGGCUUAUAAUUGUUCAUUUAAAUGCUUUUAUUUUAUUUCUUAAAAAAAAAAGAGAUGAAUAAAUUAUUUUUUUCUGCUGUGUAAGCUAUCUUUUUUACAUCUGUGGUCCUGUAGAUGUGGUGACUCGUCAAUCGAUUAAUAAACCAAUAACUCAAUAGCCCGUGAUUAAUACUGACACUCUGUGAGUCUCAUUUAGUGAGCUCAGAUGAUAAAUGGUCAUUGUUUUCUUCAGAAGGUCACUCCUUACUGAAUCCCAGCGUGACACAGCGCUAUUGAUGAAAUACCAUUCAGCCAUUUAAAGCACAGUCGUUUCCAGCCCUGUUCCUGGAGGCCCCCCAACGCUACACAUUUUGGAUGUCUCCCUCAUCUAACAUAUCCAUUUAAAGUCAUGGAGUACUCUACUAAUGAGCUGACGAGUUUAAUCAGGUGUGUUUGAUUUGGGAGACAUCCAAAGUGAGUACUGUUGGGGGCCCUCCAGGAACAGGGUUGGAAUCCUGUGUUUUAAAGCCUAAACUACUGAUCCAUUUCCUCAUCUCCUCCCAAAAUCAUGUCUGUGCAGGAGUAUGUAUUGAAUAUAACAGUCAAAACACUUAGUCAUUCAAUGCAAGUUCAUUCAUAUCCAUUUCAUACUUAUUACUUUUUAUUAUUAGGUCCUUAAUAGAACAGAGGCCAGUGUUAUAGCAUAAAUGAGAACUAGGCUGCAACUUAAUACGCUACAAAACAUUUGAGUUUUGCAACAGUAAACUUACUUGCAACCUAACCCUAUCUAAAUAAUUACAGAAGCACAUAUAUGCCAAAACUUGCACUAGAACAAAUAAUAGAUUAAUGAGACCAAAGACUGCCUGUUAGAUUUACCCAAAAUGAAGAGCCAGCAGCAAAUUCCAGAAGAUCUGGCCGAGGUAAGGCUGCUCUUGGUGGGUUCAUGAGCGCUGAAUGGCCGCUGACGCCCUGGAGCUCACAUCUCCAAAAACAUCUUAGCAAAUUUUCAAAUAGACAUUAUCUUUAUUAACAAACCGUAUAUUUGAAGGCCCAAA